GUAAGGAAUAUUGGUCAAUGGAGGGAACUCUGAACCAGCCAUCCCGCGUGAAGGAUGAAGGGGCUCUGCCUUGUAAACUUCUUUUGCAUGGGACGAAAAAACUUAAUUUAUUAAGGACUGACGGUACCAUGAGAAUAAGCACCGGCUAACUCCGUGCCAGCAGCCGCGGUAAUACGGAGGGUGCGAGCGUUAUCCGGAAUCACUGGGUUUAAAGGGUGCGUAGGCGGUUUGAUAAGUCAGUGGUGAAAGGCCGUCGCUUAACGAUGGGACUGCCAUUGAUACUGUUAGACUUGAAUCAGGAUGAGGUUGGCGGAAUGUGGCAUGUAGCGGUGAAAUGCUUAGAUAUGCCAUGGAAUACCGAUUGCGAAGGCAGCUGACUGGACCUGAAUUGACGCUGAGGCACGAAAGCGUGGGGAGCGAACAGGAUUAGAAACCCGAGUAGUCC
RNAcentral lists this ribosomal RNA (445 nucleotides) under uncultured bacterium. Its description in RNAcentral is "bacterial SSU rRNA". It matches the Rfam family "Bacterial small subunit ribosomal RNA", at positions 354 to 796 of the family's 1533-position model. The record is from RNAcentral.